CGGGACGGGUGAGUAACGCGUGGGUAACCUGCCUCAUACAGGGGGAUAACAGUUAGAAAUGACUGCUAAUACCGCAUAAGCGCACGGGGAUGCAUAUCUUUGUGUGAAAAACUCCGGUGGUAUGAGAUGGACCCGCGUCUGAUUAGCUAGUUGGUGAGGUAACGGCUCACCAAGGCGACGAUCAGUAGCCGACCUGAGAGGGUGACCGGCCACAUUGGGACUGAGACACGGCCCAAACUCCUACGGGAGGCAGCAG
This 256-nucleotide ribosomal RNA is filed under the name uncultured bacterium. Its description in RNAcentral is "partial 16S ribosomal RNA". It matches the Rfam family "Bacterial small subunit ribosomal RNA", at positions 98 to 354 of the family's 1533-position model. The record is from RNAcentral.